RNAcentral lists this ribosomal RNA (847 nucleotides) under Pochazia shantungensis. RNAcentral's name for it is "SSU rRNA". It matches the Rfam family "Eukaryotic small subunit ribosomal RNA", at positions 807 to 1660 of the family's 1831-position model. The record is from RNAcentral. Lineage: Eukaryota; Metazoa; Arthropoda; Insecta; Hemiptera; Ricaniidae.
GAACGGAAAAUGGGAAAGGGACCUCGGUUCUAUUUUUGUUGGUUUUCGGAAUCUGAGGUAAUGAUCAAUGGGGACAGGCGGGGGCAUUCGUAUUGCGACGUUAGAGGUGAAAUUCUUGGAUCGUCGCAAGACGGACCGAAGCGAAAGCAUUUGCCAAGUAUGUUCUCGUCGAUCAAGAACGAAAGUUAGAGGUUCGAAGGCGAUCAGAUACCGCCCUAGUUCUAACCAUAAACUAUGCCUGCCAGCGAUCCGCCGAAGUUCCUCCGAUGACUCGGCGGGCAGCUUCCGGGAAACCAGAGCUUUUGGGUUCCGGGGGAAGUAUGGUUGCAAAGCUGAAACUUAAAGGAAUUGACGGAAGGGCACCACCAGGAGUGGAGCCUGCGGCUUAAUUUGACUCAACACGGGAAAACUCACCAGGCCCGGACACCGGAAGGAUUGACAGAUUGAGAGCUCUUUCUUGAUUCGGUGGGUGGUGGUGCAUGGCCGUUCUUAGUUGGUGGAGCGAUUUGUCUGGUUAAUUCCGAUAACGAACGAGACUCUAGCCUACUAACUAGGCGUACCCGGUAUCCACAAUCGUGCUACCGGCGAUCAAAUUUCUUCUUAGAGGGACAGGCGGCUUCUAGCCGCACGAGACUGAGCAAUAACAGGUCUGUGAUGCCCUUAGAUGUCCUGGGCCGCACGCGCGCUACACUGAAGGAAUCAGCGUGUCUUCCCUGUCCGAAAGGACCGGGUAAUCCGCUGAACCUCCUUUGUGCUAGGGAUUGGGGCUUGCAAUUGUUCCCCAUGAACGAGGAAUUCCCAGUAAGCGCGAGUCAUAAGCUCGCGUUGAUUACGUCCACUUGCCCGU